GACGAACGCUGGCGGCGUGCUUAACACAUGCAAGUCGAACGGAAAGGCCCUGCUUUUGUUGGGUUCUCGAGUGGCGAACGGGUGAGUAACACGUGAGUAACCUGCCCUUGACUUUGGGAUAACUUCAGGAAACUGGGGCGAAUACCGGAUAGGAGCUCCUGCUGCAUGGGGGUGGUUGGAAAGUUUCGGCGGUUGGGGAUGGACUCGCAGCUUAUCAGCUGGUUGGUGGGGUAGUGGCUUACCAAGGCUUUGACGGGUAGCCGGCCUGAGAGGGUGACCGGGCACAUUGGGACUGAGAUACGGCCCAGACUCCUACGGGAGGCAGCAGUGGGGAAUAUUGCACAAUGGGCGGACGCCUGAUGCAGCAACGCCGCGUGCGGGAUGACGGCCUUCGGGUUGUAAACCGCUUUGGCAUGUGACGAAGCGUGAGUGACGGUAAUGGGUAAAGAAGCACCGGCUAACUACGUG
Molecule: ribosomal RNA, 468 nt
Filed under: uncultured bacterium
Lineage: Bacteria
Description: partial 16S ribosomal RNA
Rfam family: Bacterial small subunit ribosomal RNA
Source: RNAcentral